Molecule: transfer RNA, 92 nt
Filed under: Amborella trichopoda
Lineage: Eukaryota; Viridiplantae; Streptophyta; Magnoliopsida; Amborellales; Amborellaceae
Description: tRNA AMTR_s01871t00273470
Source: RNAcentral
ACUACUACUUGUACUAGUGGUAUGUACUAGUACUACUACUACUAGUAGUGCUAGUACUACUACUAGUAGUGUUAGUACUACUACUAGUAGUG